UUACCCAGUGCCGUGGGUGCUGCUAGUGUCCUGUCUUUGCGAGCCCUCAUCGGCUGCGAUUUGUGUUGGCGUGCUUCAACGAGGACGUAAGUCUCUUGUUUUUAUUGAGCAGCGUUUGUCUCUCUGUUUUUUAGGUACUUGCUGUAAUGAGCUUUUAUUGAUUUAAUGUUUUGUUUAUUAGUUCCGGGUUUAGAGUGAUCACUACAAGUUUGCCGAGUGCGUUUGUUGUGCUGAGAACUUUGGUUUGGGAAUGUUCAAGUAAAAACCAGACGGAGUAAAGUGACUGCUACAGUAUUAUAAAUAACCAAGCUUUUGGCUUGAUGCUGUGGUCUGUUCAUACAGGAGGAGCGACAUAUGCUGUCCUGGCCACUGUUUUUCCUGUGCUCUUGUUUUUAGGAUUCAGCUCCGUGUGUGUGUGUGUACGUGGGGAAGAACCGUCUAUUAAGUUGCCUAUGAGCCUCCCCCUGGUGUGUUGAUGUAUGUUGUGUGUUAUGUAAUGUGUGUAUUUUAGGCCAUUGGGUUGGUGCAAUAUCCUGGGUAGGGGGGAUAACAAUUUUGUUGUGUGGCCACUGGUUUGUCUAGU
Pimephales promelas (fathead minnow) is the source of this 583-nucleotide non-coding RNA. The record is from RefSeq and is a predicted model, not a curated record. NCBI's taxonomy places the organism in Eukaryota, Metazoa, Chordata, Actinopteri, Cypriniformes, Leuciscidae.